AAAGAACAAAGUAAGAGGACUCUUGUUAGCUGGUUUUACAAAUAUUUGUGCUGAUGUUCAGACAGAGGUGUUAUUAGAAACCAAAUAUUUAAAGACAAAGAGACGUGAACCUUCAGGGAAUUCGAGGAGAGAGCACUGGCAACAAAACACUCUUUUUCUUAAAUUUGACCUUUUUAGGCCUCUUCAGUGGUUCAAUGAUGAUCAUUUAUUUUAGUUAUACUGCAGGAAUGUCAGUCUUGUGACUAAAGCUUGGACAUAAGGUUGAUUUUUAGGAACAUUAAUCGGACUGAUGACACUCAGAGGUAAAACAUCCUCAGACUCCAAGAGAGGAAGAGGAAACCUGAUCAAAUAUAACAGUCCUGAUUUACUCGUCACCUCCUCGUCUCCAGGUAACUCGUAACAUUUACAGUGAAGGAGGGAACUUCUUCUUUUGGUCCUGGACGUUACACAACCGUCGAGGAUUCCCUGAAGCGUUUCGGUUCAUCGGGACCGACAUGAACCGAUAAAUCAGACGACAGAGUGAGAUCUUCACCGGAGGAUAAAUAAAGCGUCUCUCCUCUUGGGAUGCUGGAUCAUGAUCCACGCUCUGGGAUUUAACUCUGUGGUCGUUUACUCCUCCAGGACUCGUUUCAGAGGCUCCAGCUGGAUUUGAGCUGAAGUGGACAAAUCUCAUUCUUGAACAAGCUGAACUCCAGCCUGAGCUGUGAGCAGAGAGGGAGCGAUAAGGAGCCGGCUGAGGGAGCACUGACGGAGCUGCCACCUUGCAGGAGAGAGGCUGCGUGGACGGAGCGAAGCAUCAUUUCCCUCGGCUCCAAUGAACGCCUGAGGAAGAGAGCCUCAUCUCGUCUGCAGGGACUUGAGAUUUGCACAAGUACGGGUAUGAAUUUGAUCUUUUAUU
Molecule: long non-coding RNA, 898 nt
Organism: Labrus mixtus (cuckoo wrasse)
Lineage: Eukaryota; Metazoa; Chordata; Actinopteri; Labriformes; Labridae
Exons: 3
Source: RefSeq, a predicted model, not a curated record